This 3371-nucleotide long non-coding RNA is filed under the name Carica papaya (papaya). RNAcentral describes it as "long non-coding RNA (CPAP_LNC003433)". Lineage: Eukaryota; Viridiplantae; Streptophyta; Magnoliopsida; Brassicales; Caricaceae. The record is from RNAcentral.
UUACAAGUAGUAUGAGAGAUGAGAUGAUGGGCUAGUAAAUAAGGCACCUCCCACUGCAUUCUGGAAUUUGAUGAGAUGGCACUUCUCCUUCAUUCUCCCGUUCUGGACCACGUCAUUUACAUUUAUGUCCACAUCAUCCAACAAUUCCUGCAUCAAGAACUAAAAUAAGUAUAACAUUAGCUUUAGGUAGACAAAGUUAAUCAAAUUAUUUAUGAGUAAGGAAAAAGUAAAUACAUACAACUUUUCAUCUGAAACUAAUUCUUCUCCUUUUGCUCCAUACUUUUAUGUGGAUCUUCUCCCUCAAUGGCGCCUCUUCUACAACAAGCUAUAAUUCUUCAUUCCCCGGGUUUUCUUCAUCAUCAUUUAUAUUUAAAGUCAUCAACUAAAUCUACUUAAUUACUUGCUUUUCUUCUUCUCUCCCGUAAAUAAUAAGGGUUGCUGUGACGUUUUCCUUCAACAUUCUCAGCUCAUUUUGGAGUGUAAUCGUGAGUAGAGCAGCUCCACACAUUUUCCUCAUCCGAUCCCUUGGUUGCAGAUCUAUUAAUGUCCAAUGCUCCACUAGAAACCUCUCAUUAUCUUUCUUGACAGGAUUAAAUUUCAUUUCUACAACAAUCUGUCCUAUAUAUUUCUUGUUUUGCGGGUCAUUUCGAUUAAUCUUCUUCAUCAAAUCAAGCCUUUUCCUUAAUUUCAUCCGAAGUUACCUCACUCAGAGCAACCACUUGCAUCCCCAACUUGUCCUGUGUCCCAACUUGUCUAAUAUAUAUGCUAUUUUUUUAAUUCUGUUACGAUUCUUUAUAUAUUUAUGAAAAUUCUAAAUAAGAGAGAUUAUAUCUUUUCCGGGUCAAACAUGCAAUUGGAGGACUUGAGACUAGAAAAAUUCUCGUUGUACUCAGAGUUUAAGAUUUCUCAUUUAAUUGGAAAUUCUCUUUGCUGGAAGUCCCUCUCCAUUUCGGCUGAUUGUAGGUAGGGUUUAGAUAACCCAAACAAGUCCAUUUUUCGGGUUUGAGUGCCCUUAUCACUUCCACACGCAGUAUAUCCACAGGCUUCUUCGUAACCCCUCCAUGCCAUAAGAAACAAAAACGAUAGGGAGAGAAAGUCCCCUUAUAAAUUAUCAUUCACAGUUCCAUCCUUACAUACGAUUCCAAUGUUGUUCAUGAAAAACUUACACUUAACCAUCAAGAAUUGGAAAAUUCAAGAGUUUGGAAACAGAUAUAGAGGCUAGCAAUUUGUUUUCUCAAAGUUUCUUGUUAGUAACAUAUACAAAAACUUAUUGUUUUGCCAAUUUUGCAGAUAAGGCUUCGCAGUUAAGUACAUAUCUAUAAUGUCUCAAGUCAACCAAAAGAAAUUGACUAUCCAGUAUGUAGAAAGAAGAAUGGACAAGAAAAAACAUGGUGUCAUGGUGUAAAAAAUUAAAAAUGCAAAAUGGGCGGGCAAUAUGUCAUAUUUAAGGUUUUUUUUCAGACAGAAAUCAGACCAGAAAGAGUGAAAAUCAACUAGGAAAUAAAAAAAUAAAUAGAUAGAUCAGACAAGUAGGUAAAACCAUGUGUAAUACUAGUGAAGAUUCAAACAGAAAUUAGAGGUUUACAUAUUUCUUGUGUUUUAUCAUGUUAUCUAUCACUUUUCAAAAGGCCAAUUCAGACAGAUUGCUAUCAUUUCUCUUUUCGAUAAUAGACCUGAUUUAAUGAAUCAAUUUGAAGUUAAUGAUAAACUAGAAAAUUGGAGAAAAAUGUAAUUAAAUUGCUGCACAUUGAAGAUCAAUUAGCAAAAGCCAUCAGCUAUGCAUUUGAAGGAAUUUGGUAUUUUAUGGAUUUGGGAAGCUGUGCGGUGUGCGGUGUGCGGUUGUGCCUGUGAGCAGGUGGCGGCUGAGCCAGAAUCGAGGAAAUCAGGACAGGUGAAGGCAAGUUGGUGUUGGUCGACUUGGACCAAAUUAAAAAAACAAUAACUAGUUUUCCAAUUAAGUCCUAUAAAAAUAAAAUUUGAAAAAUGAUCUGGCUUGGCAUGGUCCUCUCAAGCCCCUUCUUUUCUUCAGCUCCAGCCAGCUAGAGCAAAAUUACGUAGCUUUUCAUCGUUGCCAAACCUACCGUUCAGCGGUUAUGAACUACCAUUCUUCCAAUUGAAAAUUGGAGUGGUUUCGACAAUCGAUACCCAUUGCACUUCCGAGUCAUGGACAGAUCUUGCUCCCCCACCACUCAGAAGCUUGAACAGAAAGUCGCGAAUCCACCCACUAAACACGCCCGGUUCACUGCCCUUGACUCGGACCUCACUCUGACUUACUCAACGGCAUCACUACAAUACUCAAGGACAAGCUCAAACUGCCUGACCGGCUCGGCAGUUUAAUCGACGGCUUCGAGGACAAAGAACAUAAAAUCGGAGGUUCAAGUUCAAAACUUGCAUCUAGCGAGGAGCUCGAGAUCAUCCUGCCCAACGGGCUCGGGUCCAGUCGACAUAAGGAGCUCGAUGACGGUGAUGGGUUGUACUGUACCAAGGAAAAGAAGACAAAUGAAGAUGCGGUAUUUCGGGCAAGUGAGCGAUUCUAUAAAGACGGAGCGGGUUCAGUUUCGGCUAUGGCAUAUUACAAAUGCUAGGGGAAAAAGAAUGAUCAGGGUUUAGUGACCUUGGAGGAGAUUUUCUUUUAAUGAUUAGAAAAGAAAUGUCAUUAGACAUUGAAUGAAAGAAGUUAUACAAGAGCCAAAAAACCUCCUUAAAAAAGAAGAAAAAGAAAGAAAAAAAUAAUGAUAAAAAAUGAAAUCACUCAAAACCCACAGAAUCCUGGGUCUCAAUCAGGUUUCAUUCAGAACUUGAUGAAAAUAAUUAGUUCAAUUAUAAAGGAAUCAAACAACUUCUACCAUUUCUAAUAGGUCAUUCAUCGAACAGUUGGUGCAUUACUCCGAAAACGAACUCUGAACUACCAAAAAAAUAUCAUUCGUUGUUUGAAUUCAAUCACAGAAUCAUGUCGGAAAUUCAUUAUAAUUGCUAAUGGUCGAAAUAAGAAACAAGCCAACAACAGCUUACCUGUUGUUGCCCACUAAGAUUCGAAAAGCACCGUCACUUAUCUCCUUUCUUCAUCAAACAAGAGAGUCCCUCUCCUUUUCCAGCCUCCAUUCUCCUUCUUACUCCUUCCAGGACCUUCCCUUUUCUCUCAAUCUUCUGUUGACCCAGAAAUCAAAAUAUCGUACUUCCCAAUUGCUCCAACAGUCAAUCACCCUUCACGCGUGCCCUCUCGCCUCUUCGCGAUCUCGGCUUUCCCGCUGCUCAUCCGACAAAAAUCGUGGACUGCUUCGCUACUCCACCCUGUUUCUCUUGCAACGCCCCCUGUUUCUCCAAAGUCUCCCUUCAAUUCGUGAUGAAAAUCCGAUAGGCUGAUAACUUAA